Long non-coding RNA from Condylura cristata (star-nosed mole), 2227 nucleotides. RefSeq lists it as uncharacterized. NCBI's taxonomy places the organism in Eukaryota, Metazoa, Chordata, Mammalia, Eulipotyphla, Talpidae. The record is from RefSeq and is a predicted model, not a curated record. The transcript is spliced from 7 exons.
CCUGAAGAAGGCUGUAGGUUUCAUCGCCUGGCUAGCGGGAGCUCGUACUGGCAUUCACACCCCCAUUAUGUGACUUCUUCCAGCAGUGUAAUAGGGGCAUCACCCAUCAUCCCAGUGGCAGAAAAUGCAGCUUGGAAACGAGAUGUUGUGCCACAGGGAAGAGCAGCGAGUGGGAAGAGAGAAUGCUCCACCCUAUGGCCUCAGAGCCACACACUGCACGGGAGGAAACACAAGCAACUAGACCUGAGCCUGUGACAGGAAGAUCUGCCCCCCACCCUGCCACGCCCGUGGGCAGCUGAAGAAUUGGUGAAAACAGUUGCAAGCCUGCCUCUGUGGUUCUUCACCACAGUAUUAUGUACCUGUUGUCUUCCGGUGUCUUCCCAGCACAACAGAGAAACUGCUGAGGGUCCUGAGGGGUACCUGUUGGGUUGGAAGGUGGGGGAGGCCUCCUUGCACCGCAUGCUGGGCCCAUGGGUGGCCCGCGUGACUCAGAGCUGAUGUUCCUGCUCUCCAGGGCAGCUGGGCAGCAGGGCUGGAGUCCACGCCCGCAGGCCGCACCACCUCAGUGCUAUGUCUGUUCCUGGACCUCAUGCCUUUCCUUUCCGCCUUGCCUGGCCUCCCACGGGAACAUGGAGAACAGAGCACGAAGCAAGGUUUACAGAAGCAACAAUUCAUUUGGGAGGAGCAAGACCAUGGCAGUGACUUGAGGAAAAGGCGUUGAGUUGAGGAAAGAUGCUCUGCAGUGCGGUCUGUUAUGUCACCACAGCAGCUCACUGCUUCCGCUGGCCCCAGGAGACAGGCAAGUGGCCGGGUCACUCAUACUGGGGUGUCUCCAGAACUAGGAGUGUGAUGGCAAGAGAAUAGCGUUCACUGAAACAAAACUCCGAGUUUAUUUUUUGCUAAGCAAGGGAGAGAUGCUGGAAAGGACAUUGUUUCUGAGAGAGGCAAGAGCUGACUUUACAUAGGGCUUGGGAAAUGUGGGAUUCAGAAGUUAGUGGCCUUUCAGAAGCGUAUAUAUGAACAAUGGAAUACUACUCAACUAUUAAAAAAAAAAAGAGGAAAUCUUUCCAUCUUCAUCAACUUGGUUAGAACGACAGCAGAUAAUGCUAUGUGAAAUAAGUCAGAAGGAGAAAGAUAAAUACCAGAUGGUAGAAUAUAAAGAAAACAGAGAACCAGACAAAGCUAAAUCUAAAUGCCUAGAAGGGGGAGGGUGGGAGUGGGAAAAAGUUGGAGGUGGACCCUUGGGCUGUGGGAGAGGAUUGUGGUUGUGCACAGGGUACAGUAACAUGCAUCUGAACAGCUGAGACUGCACCCCUAAGUCAUAUACAGUAUUGUGAUCCAAUAUACCCUCAAAAAUGCAAUACAAAAAUUGUAAGUGGGAAACUUCUGCAGUUGACUUUCACCUGUGGGAGCUCGUAUAUGAGGUUGCAACUGUUGGCUGAUGGCAUUUGCUCCUCUAAGCUGUUUUGUGCAUGACCGUGUGCUGUGUUACCCACGUCCAAAAAUGGAGGAGCAGCUAGUGUAAUGGGGCAUCAGCUUGAGAGGGGGAGAGAUGGAAGAAGAGACAGAGAGCGCUCAGCUGAGGUCAUUAUGGCAAGGGGCCUUAUGUGCAAAUUAGGGUGUGAAUGAGUAAGCCUGACCCUGGUCAGGAAGGACUAGUACACACUUUUCCUGGGGCCAAGCAGGGGUCACCCUCAGAAAAUACCCAUGAAAUGAUUUCCUCCUCAAUUUUUCUUCAGAAAUAAAAGGAUCCCUUUAGCUAUGCCCACACUGCCCCCACCAUUUUUUAUUCUGAUUGCCCAGAACAUGGAGAAGAAACCAAAGAUCUUUCACUGCCAGCUCAGUGAGGGACCAUCACAGCACCCUCUCUCCAGGAACGUCCACACUGGAACAUACCAGCCGAAGGUGCUUAGCAGCUGAUGGCCUUCCUCUUACAUCUGAUUCUGGGGCACGUCGCAUCAGUUGGUCGACGGUGACAUGAGAUCCGCGUCCUUCGUGCAAGCCUGGCUUGCUCCUGACCAUCAGCCCUUGUACUUGCCGCUGGACUGGACUAACUGACAGGAAGCUGGAGAUCCUGGUGAAGACUCGGGGAAGUAUCUCAGGACACUGGUUUCCAAGUGGAGGGGACUGAAUGGUCAUCAGUCACCUUCACUCUAACUGUAGGGCGGCGAAGAGUCCAGGCCGGUGUGAUCCCCCCGCUGUUGCCUGUGGCUCCUCUCAGCUCAAC